UGCAUCCACAUGCAAUGGAGUAUCAGCCUGAAAAAGGGCUGAAAGUCUGAUUAUGCUACAGCAUAAAUGAACCUUCAAUACAUUACACUAAAUGAAAUAAGUUGGAAACAAAAGGGCAAAGAAGUAGGUACAUGAAAUAACCAUAUUGGGUGCCUGGGUGGCUCAGUGGGUUAAGC
Molecule: long non-coding RNA, 176 nt
Organism: Lontra canadensis (Northern American river otter)
Lineage: Eukaryota; Metazoa; Chordata; Mammalia; Carnivora; Mustelidae
Exons: 3
Source: RefSeq, a predicted model, not a curated record